RNAcentral lists this ribosomal RNA (374 nucleotides) under uncultured bacterium. RNAcentral describes it as "partial 16S ribosomal RNA". It matches the Rfam family "Bacterial small subunit ribosomal RNA", at positions 338 to 710 of the family's 1533-position model. The record is from RNAcentral.
CCUACGGGUGGCAGCAGUGAGGAAUAUUGGUCAAUGGUCGGGAGACUGAACCAGCAAAGCCGCGUGAGGGAGGAAGGUACAGAGUAUCGUAAACCUCUUUUGUCAGGGAACAAAGACUGGGACGCGUCCCCGGACGAGUGUACCUGAAGAAAAAGCAUCGGCUAACUCCGUGCCAGCAGCCGCGGUAAUACGGGGGAUGCGGGCGUUAUCCGGAUUUAUUGGGUUUAAGGGGUGCGCAGGGGGUGUGUUAAGUCGGCGGUCAAAGCCCGGGGCUCAACCCCGGGCCGCCGUUGAAACUGGGAGUCUAGAGUGGGAGAGAAGUAUGCGGAAUGCGCGGUGUAGCGGUGGAAUGCAUAGAUAUCGCGCAGAACUCC